AGAGUUUGAUUCAUGGCUCAGAACGAACGCUGGCGGCAUGCCUAACACAUGCAAGUCGAACGAAGCCUUCGGGCUUAGUGGCGCACGGGUGCGUAACGCGUGGGAAUCUGCCCUUGGGUUCGGAAUAACAGUUAGAAAUGACUGCUAAUACCGAAUGAUGUCUUCGGACCAAAGAUUUAUCGCCCAAGGAUGAGCCCGCGUCGGAUUAGCUAGUUGGUGAGGUAAAGGCUCACCAAGGCGACGAUCCGUAGCUGGUCUGAGAGGAUGAUCAGCCACACUGGGACUGAGACACGGCCCAGACUCCUACGGGAGGCAGCAGUGGGGAAUAUUGGACAAUGGGCGAAAGCCUGAUCCAGCAAUGCCGCGUGAGUGAUGAAGGCCUUAGGGUUGUAAAGCUCUUUUACCCGGGAUGAUAAUGACAGUACCGGGAGAAUAAGCCCCGGCUAACUCCGUG
Molecule: ribosomal RNA, 454 nt
Filed under: uncultured bacterium
Lineage: Bacteria
Description: bacterial SSU rRNA
Rfam family: Bacterial small subunit ribosomal RNA
Source: RNAcentral